AAAAACUACCAUAAAUGCCCAAUAAAGUUUUGAUUUUUCACAAUAUCAGUUCAAUUGUAUUUUGCAGAAAUGGGAUCUUCUGAAGGUCGAAGAGCAACUUUAAUGGUGUAUAGAAAUCUAUUCAAAGCAGUGAAAAAACAUAUAGGGAAGGAAGAACACAAAACUCAUUUUACUGAUUUCAGCAGGGAAGAAUUCAAGAAGAAUAUAAAUCUGGAAUACCCAAAAGACUCUUCUUUUAUUCAGCAAAGAAUUAAUCUUGCUCAAAAUUAUACUUAUCUUCUCAAUAGUAUCCAUCAUCAUAAGGACUUGUUAUUUUCUUACAACAUCGCAGUGGAUAGAUCAAAUGAGAUGGCAAAAGUGCUGGGCAAAUCUGCUGCAAGUGUGGGUCUACGCCUUCCUGAUGUUUAUCAGCAUUAAAAGUUGUACUGGUAUCAUGUCGAAGGUGGUUUCAGAUGAUUCAACAAAACUGGAAGCUGAUAUUGCAGAUAUCCUAGAACAACUUUCAUUCAUAUCUCCUUAGGAUAACAAUUUCACAGAUUUGUCCUAUGUUGGACAGAAUGUUUUUGGUUUGAUGAACACCAAACCAUGAGAGACAAUCAGAAAAAUGAAGAAUUUUUCGCGUUUGUGAAGACUGCUUCAAAGUAAUAUAAGAAAUUGCCAAGCUAGAGAUAGUUGUGCCUGAUAGGUUUCAUUGCAUAUGAGAACUCAUUAGUCCAUUUGAACAUGUUGUUUCUGUUUGUUGCUAUUGUCUCUUUUUCACUAUUCAUUCUACUGAGGAUUUUUUUGAAACAACUUCUCUACCUACUUUAUCAUCCCUAAACCCCACUUACGGAAUUUCACUGAAUUUGUUGUCGUUGUUGUUGAGUCUCACUAAAAUCUUGCAAGUUAUGUUGUACAGAAACAUUUGAUCAAUUAUUGAAAAAGAACAUGAUUA
Long non-coding RNA from Solanum tuberosum (potato), 934 nucleotides. RefSeq lists it as uncharacterized. Lineage: Eukaryota; Viridiplantae; Streptophyta; Magnoliopsida; Solanales; Solanaceae. The transcript has 3 exons. The record is from RefSeq and is a predicted model, not a curated record.